UACAGAGGUCCCAAGCGUUGUUCGGAUUCACUGGGCGUAAAGGGUGCGUAGGUGGCCAAGUAAGUCUGAUGUGAAAUCUCGAAGCUUAACUUCGAAACUGCAUUGGAUACUACCUGGCUGGAGGGUUGGAGGGGGGACUGGAAUUCUCGGUGUAGCAGUGAAAUGCGUAGAUAUCUGGAGGAACACCGGUGGCGAAGGCGGCAUUCUGGACUACUUCUGACACUGAUGAACGAAAGCCAGGGGAGCAAACGGG
RNAcentral lists this ribosomal RNA (253 nucleotides) under uncultured prokaryote. RNAcentral's name for it is "partial 16S ribosomal RNA". It matches the Rfam family "Bacterial small subunit ribosomal RNA", at positions 524 to 776 of the family's 1533-position model. The record is from RNAcentral.